This 254-nucleotide ribosomal RNA is filed under the name uncultured bacterium. Its description in RNAcentral is "partial 16S ribosomal RNA". It matches the Rfam family "Bacterial small subunit ribosomal RNA", at positions 524 to 776 of the family's 1533-position model. The record is from RNAcentral.
UACGUAGGGUGCGAGCGUUGUCCGGAAUUAUUGGGCGUAAAGAGCUCGUAGGCGGUGUGUCGCGUCGGCCGUGAAAACCUGCAGCUUAACUGUGGGCGUGCGGUCGAUACGGGCAUCACUGGAGUUCGGCAGGGGAGACUGGAAUUCCUGGUGUAGCGGUGAAAUGCGCAGAUAUCAGGAGGAACACCGGUGGCGAAGGCGGAUCUCUGGGCCUUGCCUGACGCUGAGGCGCGAAAGCUAGGGGAGCGAACAGG